RNAcentral lists this transfer RNA (76 nucleotides) under Candidatus Rokuibacteriota bacterium. RNAcentral describes it as "tRNA-Val". It matches the Rfam family "tRNA". From Rfam's summary of the family: Transfer RNA (tRNA) molecules are approximately 80 nucleotides in length. Their secondary structure includes four short double-helical elements and three loops (D, anti-codon, and T loops). Further hydrogen bonds mediate the characteristic L-shaped molecular structure. tRNAs have two regions of fundamental functional importance: the anti-codon, which is responsible for specific mRNA codon recognition, and the 3' end, to which the tRNAs corresponding amino acid is attached (by aminoacyl-tRNA synthetases). tRNAs cope with the degeneracy of the genetic code in two manners: having more than one tRNA (with a specific anti-codon) for a particular amino acid; and 'wobble' base-pairing, i.e. permitting non-standard base-pairing at the 3rd anti-codon position. The record is from RNAcentral. Lineage: Bacteria; Candidatus Rokuibacteriota.
GGGCGGAUAGCUCAGUUGGGAGAGCGCAGCCCUUACAAGGCUGAGGUCAGAGGUUUGACCCCUCUUCCGCCCACCA